This is a long non-coding RNA of Xenia sp. Carnegie-2017, 197 nucleotides long. RefSeq lists it as uncharacterized. NCBI's taxonomy places the organism in Eukaryota, Metazoa, Cnidaria, Anthozoa, Malacalcyonacea, Xeniidae. The transcript has 2 exons. The record is from RefSeq and is a predicted model, not a curated record.
AGGUUAACAAAGAUGUUCAUGUUUUGUACUGCUUGAGUGAAUGAGCACACAAUUUGCUACAUCAUUAUCUGCUCUGGUACCCUUGCAAGUACAUCAAAAAUUUUUUGUUACUGUAUGGUAUUUGAAAACAAUUAUAUUAUUUGAAUACAUUUAUAUUAAUCAUAAACUAAUUAAUGAAAUACAUGUUUACAUACAUA